Mirounga angustirostris (Northern elephant seal) is the source of this 387-nucleotide long non-coding RNA. RefSeq lists it as uncharacterized. The record is from RefSeq and is a predicted model, not a curated record. The transcript is spliced from 4 exons. NCBI's taxonomy places the organism in Eukaryota, Metazoa, Chordata, Mammalia, Carnivora, Phocidae.
ACACAGCUCCGUUUUCUCCCUUAACCUCAGGACUGAAUCCGGAAUCUCCCCUCGGUGUCCCCUUGUAGCUUGCUGAAUUCUUCCUGUGUAAACUAGGUGACUGUAACAAGAACUCCUGCUGUCUGCACUCUCCUGUAAUGUGAUUUCUCUACAUAUCCAUGGGAGAGGAAGUACCUCUGAGUUUGGACAGAGAAGAUGCCUGUAUCAUACAGACUGUUUCUGAAUGAGAAGAAAGUGCCACGAAAAGAACAGUAACUGAACACUUACUAUGUAUGAGAUAAUCCAAAAGAUACAAAGAUGGGUAAGACUCAAUUCCUGUCGGAAAGAAGAUUACAGGCGGAGAAAAGAAGACAAUAUAUGUUUAGCAUAAUGCAGAAGAAGAACCAU